UACAGAAGCCUCAAGCGUUACCCGGAUUUACUGGGCGUAAAGGGUGUGUAGGUGGCUAUGUUAGUCUCUCGUUAAAACUUCGGGCUCAACCCGAAGCUCGCGAGGGAAACGGCACAGCUCGAGGGUGUGAGAGGUUACGAGAACUCUCGGUGUAGGGGUGAAAUCCGUUGAUAUCGAGGGGAAUACCAAAAGCGAAGGCACGUAACUGGCGCAUUCCUGACACUGAAACACGAAAGCGUGGGUAGCGAACGGG
Molecule: unclassified non-coding RNA, 253 nt
Filed under: uncultured Parcubacteria group bacterium
Lineage: Bacteria
Description: contains 16S-23S intergenic spacer region
Rfam family: Bacterial small subunit ribosomal RNA
Source: RNAcentral